Molecule: long non-coding RNA, 1048 nt
Organism: Gallus gallus (chicken)
Lineage: Eukaryota; Metazoa; Chordata; Aves; Galliformes; Phasianidae
Source: Ensembl
CAAACGUUCGCUUUGAGUUUCUGGGCGAGCUGAAACGGGGCUCGGCCCCGGCGCUCCUCCCACGGCAUCAGACCUGGCACAAAACAUCCCAAAUCCCAACAGGGAUGAAGGAGGAGGUCGUGGUGAGGUGGGGGUCGGCCUCGGCUCCCAUCAAACAGCGACAGGACGGGAGGUGAUGGCCUCAAGCUGCAGCAGGAGGGGUUCGGGUUGGACGUUAGGAACGAUUUCCUCUCCAGAAGAGCAGUGCUGCUGCAGCACAGCUGCCCGUGGUGGUGGUGGUGGGCUCACACCAUCCCCAGGGCUGUUCAGUAACAGAUGUGGUGCCGAGGGAUGCGGUCGGUGGUUUGGUUGGACCCAGUGAUCUUAGUGGCCUUUUCCAACCCUCACGACUCAAUGAAAUCCCAACCAAAUCCCAUUGAGGACAGGGGUUGCAUCCUUACGGUGCACGGCUCCAUGCAAUGGGGGCCCAGGUGGAGCAUCCGUGUGUCCUCCAGGGACAUCCACCCCAAGGGCUCCCGUGGAUGAGGGCGAAGCUCUGCAGCUUUAACACCUGCAGAAGGCUCCGAUGAAAAGCAAAGGCGCCGCAAUGGGAUGAAAGCGUGUGGGCAAAGCAUCUUAUCUGGGGCUGAAACAACGCGCCUGACAACAACACCCAGCGAGGAGAACGCGCUCGGAGAGGGAUGUUUUAAUCUGAUCUCGCUGCAGAAAUAAAGCGCUUCCUUGUCACAGCGCUGACAAAAGAAAAGGCGACAGAGCCAGAAAACAAUUAUAUCUGCAUAAAGAGAUAUAGGGUUGGUUUUUUAAUUUGUUAAUUAGUGACUGCUGGGCAUCACAAGGAUCGUUGUUUUCUCUGAUAUGCUGAUUUCUUCCUUCUCUCGGUGGAAUUGGAGAGCGCACGCACACAGAAAGACACUUCUUUACAAUGGGGAAUGGGGAAGAAGUUUCAGAAAGGUCAGGAGAAAUGUGAUAGGAAGAAGGAGUCUGAGUUCUCCUUUCCUGGAGGGGCUCUGUACUCCGGGUGAGAACUACCCAGGCACAACAAAAUGGG